AAAAGAUGCUUUUUUUCUUCAGUACGAUAUAUAAAGUCUUUUGAAUUGAAUUGAAAUAUCAGAAAACUUAGCUUCUUCUGAAAAAUUGUCUAAGGAGAGUAUCCCUAGAGCUCUAUCCAGUAUGAAAGGACCAAUGAUCUGUUUUGUUGUCAUCUGCACUGCCCUUCUUCUCGGAAGUGUGACAUGUGAACCUAUGAAUGAAGCUGAAGCUCGCCACCAUCACCACCACCAUGGACAUCAUCAUCAUGGACACCAUCACCAUGGUCACCAUCAUCAUCACGGGCAUCACCAUCAUGGGCAUCACCAUCAUCAUGGGCAUCAUCACUGAUAAUUCAAGCAAAAAAUAUUAUUAUAAAUUCUAAAAAGAAUGAAGCCUUUUAUUAAAGAGCUUUGAUGAAAUAAACACCAUUAAAAUGCA
RNAcentral lists this unclassified non-coding RNA (418 nucleotides) under Stegodyphus dumicola. RNAcentral describes it as "histidine-rich glycoprotein-like, transcript variant X1". Lineage: Eukaryota; Metazoa; Arthropoda; Arachnida; Araneae; Eresidae. The record is from RNAcentral.